This 449-nucleotide ribosomal RNA is filed under the name uncultured bacterium. RNAcentral describes it as "bacterial SSU rRNA". It matches the Rfam family "Bacterial small subunit ribosomal RNA", at positions 355 to 796 of the family's 1533-position model. The record is from RNAcentral.
UGGGGAAUAUUGGACAAUGGGGGCAACCCUGAUCCAGCGAUGCCGCGUGAGUGAAGAAGGCCUUCGGGUCGUAAAGCUCUUUAGGUUGGGAAGAAGGGUAUGUGGUGCAUAGCCACGUACUUUGACGGUACCGACAGAAUAAGCACCGGCAAACUCUGUGCCAGCAGCCGCGGUAAUACAGAGGGUGCGAGCGUUAAUCGGAAUUACUGGGUGUAAAGGGCGCGUAGGCGGUAAGAUGUGUGUGGUGUGAAAGCCCCGGGCUUAACCUGGGAAGUGCAUCGCAAACUAUCUAACUAGAGUAUAUGAGAGGGUGGCGGAAUUUCCGGUGUAGCGGUGAAAUGCGUAGAGAUCGGAAGGAACGUCAAUGGCGAAGGCAGCCACCUGGCAUAAUACUGACGCUGAGGCGCGAAAGCGUGGGGAGCGAACAGGAUUAGAUACCCCCGUAGUCC